This 1394-nucleotide ribosomal RNA is filed under the name metagenome. RNAcentral describes it as "bacterial SSU rRNA". It matches the Rfam family "Bacterial small subunit ribosomal RNA". The record is from RNAcentral.
AGAAUUUGAUCCUGGUUCAGGAUGAAUGCUAGCGGCGUGCCUAAAGUAUGCAAGUCGAACGGUCCACUUCGGUGGACAGUGGCGAACGGCUGAGUAAUACAUAGGAAUCUACCCCCAAGUAAGGGAUAGCCAUGCGAAAGCGUGGGUAAUACCUUAUGUGAUGGCAACAUUAAAGAUUUAUCGCUUGGGGACGAGCCUGUGGCCUAUCAGUUUGUUGGUGGGGUAAAAGCCUACCAAGACUAUGACGGGUACCCGGUCUGAGAGGAUGUACGGGCAGAAGGGCACUGAGAUACGGGCCUUACUCCUACGGGAGGCAGCAAUUGGGAAUCUUGCGCAAUGGACGAAAGUCUGACGCAGCGACGCCGCGUGAAGGAUGAAUGCCUUCGGGUUGUAAACUUCUGCGAAUAGCACCGGCUAACUACGUGCCAGCAGCAGCGGUCAUACGUAGGGUGCAAGCAUUAUCCGGAUUUAUUGGGCGUAAAGAGUUCUGUAGGUGGUGGUGUAAGUCCAAAGUUAAAUCUUCCGGCUCAACCGGAAACUCGCUUUGGAUACUGCGCCACUGGAGUCAGCUAGGGGACAGUAGAAUCUAUGGUGUAGCAGUGAAAUGCGUUGAUAUCAUAGAGAAUACCAAGGGGGAAGCCAACUGUCUGGGGCUGUACUGACACUAAGAGACGAAAGCGUGGGGAGCGAAACGGAUUAGAUACCCGUGUAGUCCACGCCGUAAACGAUGCCUGCUAGAUACCCCGCCUUGCGUGGGGCGUCGAAGCUAACGCGUUAAGCAGGCCGCCUGGGGAGUACGAUCGCAAGAUUAAAACUCAAACGGAAUUGGCGGGGACCCGCACAAGCGGUGGAGCAUGCUCUUUAAUUGGCUGUUAACCCAAGAACCUUACCCAGACUUGACAUGGUUUCCUUAUGCUCAACCCGAAAGGGAUGAGUUGUUGCUUGUCAACAGGGAUUUCACAGGUGUUGCAUGGCUGUCGUCAGCUCGUACCGUGAGGCGUGCCCUUAAGUGGGUUAACGAGCGCAACCCUUACCGUUAGUUGCAUCACUCUAGCGGAACUGCCUCGGUAACGGGGAGGAAGGUGGGGACGACGUCAAGUCGGUAUUGCCUUUAUGUCUGGGGCGAGAAGCAUGCUACAAUGGCGCGCACAAAGAGUUGCGAUGUGGUGACACGGAGCUAAUCUAAAAAACGCGUCUCAGUUCGGAUUGAAGUCUGCAAUUCGACUUCAUGAAGUUGGAAUCGCUAGUAAUCGUAGGUCAGCUAUACUACGGUGAAUACGUUCUCGGGUCUUGCACACACUGCCCAUCCGCCAGCAAAGCUGGGGCCAUCCUAAGUUCCACUUUUAGUGGACCCACGGUGGAAUCAGUGAUGAGGGCGAAGUUGUAACAAGGUA